AGACUUUGAUGCUGGCUCAGAUUGAACGCUCGCGGCGUGCCUAACACAUGCAAGUCGUGCGUGAAAGGGCUUCGGCCUGAGUAAAGCGGCGCACGGGUGAGUAACGCGUGGAUGAUCUGCCCAUGAGUUGGGAAUAACGGCUGGAAACGGUCGCUAAUACCGAAUACGCUCCGAUUUCACAGUUCGGGGGAAAGGUGGCCUCUGCUUGCAAGCUACCGCUCAUGGAUGAGUCCGCGUCCCAUUAGCUAGUUGGCGGGGUAAUGGCCCACCAAGGCGACGAAGGGUAGCCGUCCUGAGAGGAUGAUCGGCCACACUGGGACUGGAACACGGCCCAGACUCCUACGGGAGGCAGCAGUGGGGAAUAUUGCGCUAUGGGCGAAAGCCUGACGCAGCGACGCCGCGUGAGGGAUGAAGGCCUUCGGGUUGUAAACCUCUGUCAGGCCCGAAGAACCGCCAUGGUGCUAAUCAGCCAUGGUCUGACGGUACCUCCAAAGGAAGCACCGGCUAACUCCGUGCCAGCAGCCGCGGUAAUACGGAGGGAGCAAGCGUUAUUCGGAAUU
RNAcentral lists this ribosomal RNA (560 nucleotides) under uncultured Desulfovibrio sp. Its description in RNAcentral is "bacterial SSU rRNA". It matches the Rfam family "Bacterial small subunit ribosomal RNA", at positions 8 to 552 of the family's 1533-position model. The record is from RNAcentral. Lineage: Bacteria; Pseudomonadati; Thermodesulfobacteriota; Desulfovibrionia; Desulfovibrionales; Desulfovibrionaceae.